AAGAAAUUAGUUAAAACAUAACAUUAAUAUGUCAUAUUAAAAUCAUUAUAAUUAUAAUAUUUCUUA
Molecule: transfer RNA, 66 nt
Filed under: Trigonidium sjostedti
Lineage: Eukaryota; Metazoa; Arthropoda; Insecta; Orthoptera; Trigonidiidae
Description: tRNA-Asp
Source: RNAcentral